AAAAGACUUAGUCCUAACCUUACCGUUAAUUCUUGCCCAACACAUACAUGCAAGUAUCCGCGCCCCAGUGCAAAAACCCCCACACUCUUACCAAGACUAAAGGAGCAGGUAUCAGGCGCACCCCGCACCGUAGCCCAAGACACCCCGCCAAGCCACACCCCCACGGGUACUCAGCAGUAGUUAACAUUAAGCAAUAGGCGCAAGCCUGACUUAGUUAGAGCAACUCAGGGUUGGUAAACCUUGUGCCAGCCACCGCGGUCACACAAGAGACCCAAAUUAACCGUACACGGCGUAAAGAGUGGCCCCAGACUAUCCAAGCUAACUAAGACCAAACCAUUAGCCUAAGCCGUCACAAGCUCAAGGCACCCCGAAGCCCAACCUACACACGAUCUUAGAACCCACGAUCCAUCUCACCCCACGAAAGCUAGGGCACAAACUGGGAUUAGAUACCCCACUAUGCCUAGCCCUAAAUCCUGAUAUUUCACUUACACAAAUAUCCGCCCGAGAACUACGAGCACAAACGCUUAAAACUCUAAGGACUUGGCGGUGCCCUAAACCCACCUAGAGGAGCCUGUUCUAUAAUCGAUAAUCCACGAUACACCCGACCACUUCUUGCCAAAACAGCCUACAUACCGCCGUCGCCAGCCCACCUCCAAUGAGAGCACAACAGUGGACCCAAAAACCCACACCCGCUAACAAGACAGGUCAAGGUAUAGCCCAUGAAGUGGAAGAAAUGGGCUACAUUUUCUAAAAUAGAACAACCCCAACGAAAGGAGACCUGAAACCUGUCUCCAGAAGGCGGAUUUAGCAGUAAAGGAAAACAAUCAAGUUCCCUUUAAGCUGGUCCUAGGGCACGUACACACCGCCCGUCACCCUCCUCACAAGCCCACAACAAGAUUAACUAAUACAAAAUCAACCGCUAAAGACGAGGUAAGUCGUAACAAGGUAAGUGUACCGGAAGGUGCACUUAGCAUACC
This 977-nucleotide non-coding RNA is filed under the name Lorius chlorocercus. RNAcentral's name for it is "12S ribosomal RNA". It matches the Rfam family "Bacterial small subunit ribosomal RNA". The record is from RNAcentral. Lineage: Eukaryota; Metazoa; Chordata; Aves; Psittaciformes; Psittaculidae.